UGGUGGAGGGUCGAGACAUACCUUAUUUGGGGCAGCUGGAAGUAGGAUGAGUUCUGUGGAAAGGUAUGAUGUUGGGAGGGAUGAGUGGGUGGCAAUGGACGGGUUGCCCAGGUAUAGAGCAGGUUGCGUGGGGUUUUUGGUAGGGAGUGGAGAGGAGAGGGAGUUUUGGGUGAUGGGAGGCUACGGAGAGUCCAGGACAAUUUCUAUGAUGUUUCCAAUGGAUGAAUAUUAUAAGGAUGCUGUGGUCAUGGAUGUGAAGAAGAAUGGGUGUGG
This 273-nucleotide unclassified non-coding RNA is filed under the name Hevea brasiliensis (rubber tree). The record is from RNAcentral. Lineage: Eukaryota; Viridiplantae; Streptophyta; Magnoliopsida; Malpighiales; Euphorbiaceae.